GGUGAGAUGGCUCAAUGGUUAAGAGCACUGGUUCAGACGACCUGGGUUCAAUUCCCAGCACCC
Molecule: transfer RNA, 63 nt
Filed under: Neotoma lepida (desert woodrat)
Lineage: Eukaryota; Metazoa; Chordata; Mammalia; Rodentia; Cricetidae
Rfam family: tRNA
About the family: Transfer RNA (tRNA) molecules are approximately 80 nucleotides in length. Their secondary structure includes four short double-helical elements and three loops (D, anti-codon, and T loops).
Source: Rfam by way of RNAcentral